Haliotis rufescens (red abalone) is the source of this 2362-nucleotide RNA transcript. It is a transcript of the gene named BTB/POZ domain-containing protein 6-like, with no coding region annotated. The record is from RefSeq and is a predicted model, not a curated record. Lineage: Eukaryota; Metazoa; Mollusca; Gastropoda; Lepetellida; Haliotidae. The transcript has 4 exons.
GCCAAAUUGGUGUCUUGAGUAGGUACCAAUAAGGAUACCACAUUUCGUAACAACAGUGUACUGAUCAUUAUCCCUUGUGCACCUGUAACUUAACACACAGAUGUCAGAUGGAGUUGAAUGAUUCGGAAAUGCGUGUAUAUUUUAGAUUCAGCUACAAUAAGAUAUAUACACUAUUGUCCAUCGUGCAGGUGAAUGCGGAGCAUAUCUGUGCUACAGUAGACGAAGCCAGGAUACAUAAAGUGCCACAUAUCCUGGCCCCACAACUCCUCUCCAAACACAGGAGAGACUGUGUCAGUGUUGAUAUGAGAGGAGCACACUGUAAACGUGCGCUCGACAGCCUUUGUAUUUCAGUGAGACUGUAGAUGUCACGUGACUUCAACCAGGACGCAAGACGUGUCGUGUGGUCUUGAGGGUGUUACACAUACAGAAUACAUCAUGACAACUGAUGUUGACAAUUGGCAAAGUGGGAAGUCCUUUCCAGAAACCAACCUGCACAUGUUGGACAGUUUGUUGUUGGCUGAUGUGACCUUCCUCGUUGGAGAUCAAAGGGAGACAAUCCAGGCUCACAAGUUCAUUUUAGUUAGCCGCAGUAGCGUGUUUCACGCGAUGUUCUGUGGAUCGAUCCCCGAGACGGGUCAAGUACUGAUUCCUGAUAUACAGAUAGACAACUUCAAGACCUUCCUAAGGUAUCUCUACACGGAUGAGGUGGAGGUAACUCCGAACACUGUCCUCGGGCUGAUGUACGCUGCUAGGAAAUACAACAUCACAGGGCUAGAAAAGCAAUGUGAGGAGUUUUGCUUACAAUCUUUGUCGCCUAGCAACGCAUGUUUAUUCCUACAACAAGCAACCCUGUUUGAUAAAGAAGACCUUAAAGAAAGAACUCUUAAAGUAAUUAAAUCCAAUGCCGAGGUGAGUGUUGCAAGCGAGGGAUUCCGCGAGCUAAGCAAGGAAUGUCUGAAGUUAAUACUGAAGGCAGAUGACAUGAGAGUUAACGAGAUUUGCAUCUUCCGAUCUGUGAUGUCGUGGGCAGAAGCUGAAUGUAGACGUGAGGGAAGGGAGGUAACUCAAGAAGAGAAAAGAGAAGUGCUGGGAGAGUGUUUGUUUCUCAUUCGCUUCCCAGCUAUUCCAGAGGUGAAAUUUGCCACAAUUGUUUGUAAUGAAGCUAUUUUAAGUGAUAACCAUGCCUUGAUGUUAUUCCGAAAAUACUCUAUAGGCGACCUGGAUAUACAGCCAUUCUGUGACAAAUCUCGUGUGCCUCCUGUUUAUAACUUGUCUCGCUUACCUCCUGACCAACAGUACCACCAAACCAUUUACCUUGAUAGAUGUCGAUGUGAUGCGUUGUAUAUAUCCUGUGAUGCCAGUGUUCACCUGACCGGGCUGAGCAUGUACGCUGGGAGCCUGGAAGACAGGGUAUCUGUAGACAUAGUUGUUACUGACAGUGAUGACACAACCCUGCUGAAGCAUCACCAGGACGUGGAUGUGACAGAGGGACAACUCUCAGAUGUGGUCAUGUUCCCUUCACCUCUGACUGUUGACAAAAGAAAGAAGAUAAAACUCAAAGUCACUAGGGAGGGCAAUAAACAUGAUGUAUAUACGUGUAUAAUGAACAAACAGCCUUUGAUGACACAUGAAACAUCAGGUGUUGUGUGGACACUGGAUCACUGUAAGGAGAGUCAAUCUAGCAACAGCCUAGACUAUGGAUUCAUCAGUGGGGUUUUCUACAACGUGUAGCGUAUUUAUAUAAGGCGGCUGAGAGACAACUCUCCUUCCAACUCUUCCGUCUAUGUACGUCAGUAAUGUUAACGGGUAUUAAUCACGGACAGCAGCACACAUAUAUUUGACCACUGAUGCUUAAUUCUUUUUCACACGAGUCGACAUGACUGUAUUUACAAGUUCUAUUUCCGAGGCAACUUUACUUACGUGCCUACUAGGAGAAACAGGUUGCUAAGAUCAUGACAUUUUCUGUAUAGUGCUCCAUCACUUUUACGUUGAUGACAAUAUUAUCAGCAGCUUGAUGACAUACCUUCAGUAGCAAGAUGUUUCGAUUGAAUGCAUAAACUGAUACUUGUUUUUGAGUAUUAUUUAUAUAGAACAAAGAGUAACCAUGUAUUUUAACCAAACAGGUUAUUGAGCUUACAGUAAAGGUGGACCAAGGGUUGACCUGUGAUUGAUUAGCUUUGCCACUGUGUUGGAAUACGUUUGUGACCAGGAUCAGGAAUGUGUUCGAUUGGAGGAAUUGAGUAUUUACCUAUUUUGCUUUGCCACAUAUAUGUUAGUUUGCCAGAUUAUAUUUGUCAAUUGUGUAAAUAUUGAGUAAUUGUAUGUUUUGGUUAUAAUUACAUGUUCUUAAUAGUGAAACUGA